GCAAGUGACCCUGCAGGGGGGGCCACCAGGACUCAGCAGCGAGGGGGUGAGGGGAGCCAGAAAGAAGAGCCGCAGAUCAUGUCGACCUUCCUCACUGGGAGCUUUUACCCACAGUGUUGAGGCAUCACUGUAGGACGGCUACUGUGCUAAGUGCUCAAUAUAAUCAUCAUGUCUCUCACCUUUACCGACAGCUCUGUUAACUCUCUGUCCCAGUUCUCCCAUGCAGCAUGUCUGCGCUGGGUCACCUCCCAGUGGAUCUGCUCGGGUUGUGCCUCCUGACAAAGGACGAAGCACGAGUCCUGCAUCCUUAUCCGUAUUUUCAUCAUUAAUCAUCAUCAUUAAGAGCUAAUUUGUCCCAGACUUUGAAGUAAGUGUCCUACAUGCGUUCAAUCACUGAAUCGCCCCAGUAACCCUCUGUGAAGGUCCUCUCAGUCCUGCUGCCCAAGGGAGGGCAGGAGGCUUGGAAGGACCACGUCACUUGCCCAAGUCCCUCGGGAAUGGGGAGCAAGAUUGGAGCCCAGGUUGCUGGAGCGCCAGAGCCCAAGCUCCAGCCCCUGGGCACCACUGCCUUCUCUGCCAGGCUCAUGGUGGUGUCUUUUUUACCUUGGUCUGUCUCACUCCACUUGCCCGAACUGUUUUCAGUAUUUUCAUUAAUGCAAUGAAUACAGCAAUUAUUUACGCCACUGACCCUGAAAUAGCAUUCUCUACGAAGCCCCUUCUGUUUCCCUUUCUCCUGAUUGCCCCCAUCAACCAGACCCACACGCCACAUUCCCCCAAGUGUGCGUACACAAGGCCCAUGCACGCCCUUACAGCACUGCCUUUCCUGCUCAACUCAACCUGAUGAGAUCAACAAGGAAGAAGACUUUACUUAUUAGGGGUGGGAAGUGUUACAAAAGAUGAGAAACAGACCCAGUUUUGUUAAAAAAGAAACCAAACCAACAAGUUGCAUGAGACACAAGAUGUGCAUACACAGAGCAGCUAAGUAAAGGUAAACAACACUGAGUGAUUCCAAAGGAAAAUAAAAGCAGUAAACACUGCAGGGAUCCACAGAAGAAGACCUUAAGGAUGAGUGGGAUUUCGUGGGUGGCAGACGGAAACCAGAGUCAAGAAAUUGGCAUCUUCAUCAUGGCAACUGUUUAUCAGCAAAUCCAUAGGUUAGACAUUAAAUUAAAAUUAUUGGGAUAAAGAGAUAUAUAAACUAUUGUCCAAUGUUCCAUUUAUAGGGAAGAUCUAACUUACAGAUGGUAAAAUAAACAGCAGUAUAGAAGGCACAUAAUACAGAAGGCAAGAAUUUCAGUAAUUCGGAAAAUGAAGAAAACUUACCCCAAGGACAGCAAUAGGCCCGGAGACAGAAGGUGAGCUCUACUGCAGGGCAAAGGGCCCACUCACUAUAAGCCAGGCACUGAACACAAUGGAUGCCAAUAGCUCAGAGUCAACAGGAGCGGCCCAGAACUCCUGUGUGAUGUGUGGGGGACACAACUUAGGGAGUGGGUGCUUCCCCCCAUCAAGGCAUCAGAGAAGCUUUCCUGGUGGAGGAAAGUGGGAGUAGGAGUCAAAGGGGCCAGAAUGGGCAAACAAGGUGGGCAGGGGACACUAAGAGCAAAAGCACAGGUUAGAAGAUGCACUUGGUGUGCAGGGAGAAAGAAUGGAAGCUACCCGUCAGUUGGUGUUGCUGUGAGAGCAGGAAACGAGGCCAGGAGCACCGAGACGACCCGGAAGCACAGGCAGAGGCUGGACUGGAAGCGCCUGAUGGCCACAGGAGGGAGACAGGACUUGAUGUGAAUCACUGGAAUAGUUUAAGCAUUCUUCAGGUUGGGGGAUCAGGGAGCAACAGUGGGAAGUAGACUUAGGUUGGGCCCAGGUUUCAGCAAACUUCUUGGGCCAAAUGGAGUCUUUCAUCCACAAGAGUUUGCUGUGAGCACUGUUCUGGUUCAGAGUGUAACGGAGUAUAGAGAGCAUCAAGUCAGGAAAAAGAACUAAUGACACUUAACCUGACUGCCUAGAGCGAGAGCCACCCAGUCUUUUCUUGCGUAAAUUACCCGAGGC
Manis javanica (Malayan pangolin) is the source of this 2046-nucleotide non-coding RNA. NCBI's taxonomy places the organism in Eukaryota, Metazoa, Chordata, Mammalia, Pholidota, Manidae. The record is from RefSeq and is a predicted model, not a curated record.